GACGAACGCUGGCGGCGUGCUUAACACAUGCAAGUCGAACGGAAAGGUCCUGCUUUUGUGGGGUGCUCGAGUGGCGAACGGGUGAGUAACACGUGAGUAACCUGCCCUUGACUUUGGGAUAACUUCAGGAAACUGGGGCUAAUACCGGAUAGGAGCUCCUGCUGCAUGGUGGGGGUUGGAAAGUUUCGGCGGUUGGGGAUGUACUCGCGGCUUAUCAGCUUGUUGGUGGGGUAGUGGCUUACCAAGGCUUUGACGGGUAGCCGGCCUGAGAGGGUGACCGGCCACAUUGGGACUGAGAUACGGCCCAGACUCCUACGGGAGGCAGCAGUGGGGAAUAUUGCACAAUGGGCGGAAGCCUGAUGCAGCAACGCCGCGUGCGGGAUGACGGCCUUCGGGUUGUAAACCGCUUUCGCCUGUGACGAAGCGUGAGUGACGGUAAUGGGUAAAGAAGCACCGGCUAACUACGUG
This 468-nucleotide ribosomal RNA is filed under the name uncultured bacterium. Its description in RNAcentral is "partial 16S ribosomal RNA". It matches the Rfam family "Bacterial small subunit ribosomal RNA", at positions 28 to 507 of the family's 1533-position model. The record is from RNAcentral.